GAUGAACGCUGGCGGCGUGCCUAAUACAUGCAAGUCGAGCGAACAGACGAGGAGCUUGCUCCUCUGACGUUAGCGGCGGACGGGUGAGUAACACGUGGAUAACCUACCUGUAAGACUGGGAUAACUUCGGGAAACCGGAGCUAAUACCGGAUAAUAUAUUGAACCGCAUGGUUCAAUAGUGAAAGACGGUUUUGCUGUCACUUAUAGAUGGAUCCGCGCCGCAUUAGCUAGUUGGUAAGGUAACGGCUUACCAAGGCGACGAUGCGUAGCCGACCUGAGAGGGUGAUCGGCCACACUGGAACUGAGACACGGUCCAGACUCCUACGGGAGGCAGCAGUAGGGAAUCUUCCGCAAUGGGCGAAAGCCUGACGGAGCAACGCCGCGUGAGUGAUGAAGGUCUUCGGAUCGUAAAACUCUGUUAUUAGGGAAGAACAAAUGUGUAAGUAACUAUGCACGUCUUGACGGUACCUAAUCAGAAAGCCACGGCUAACUUCGUG
Molecule: ribosomal RNA, 497 nt
Filed under: uncultured bacterium
Lineage: Bacteria
Description: partial 16S ribosomal RNA
Rfam family: Bacterial small subunit ribosomal RNA
Source: RNAcentral